This 253-nucleotide ribosomal RNA is filed under the name uncultured bacterium. RNAcentral's name for it is "partial 16S ribosomal RNA". It matches the Rfam family "Bacterial small subunit ribosomal RNA", at positions 524 to 776 of the family's 1533-position model. The record is from RNAcentral.
AACGUAGGUGGCGAGCGUUAUCCGGAAUUACUGGGCGUAAAGCGUGUGCAGGCGGGCUAGCAAGUGGUGGAUGAAAGCUCCCGGCUCAACCGGGAAGGGUUAUGCCAGACUGCUAGUCUUGAGUGCGAGAGAGGAGCGUGGAAUUCCGGGUGUAGUGGUGAAAUGCGCAGAUAUCAGGAAGAACACCAAUGGCGAAGGCAGCUCUCUGGGACGGUACUGACGCUGAGACGCGAAAGCGUGGGGAGCGAACAGG